Molecule: long non-coding RNA, 341 nt
Filed under: Ananas comosus (pineapple)
Lineage: Eukaryota; Viridiplantae; Streptophyta; Magnoliopsida; Poales; Bromeliaceae
Description: long non-coding RNA (ACOM_LNC007047)
Source: RNAcentral
GAAUGUAAUAAAGGAUUUAUGAUUCUUGCAAAAAUAAAAUAGUUUUCUACCCCUCGUGGUUGCGAGUUUUAAAAGGAAAAGGUUUUCGUGUGGUAAACGAUUUUUAAAAGAAUUUUCUGGUUUUUCCUGGAUGUUAGUAUUUCAAAACGAGUUUCCGGGCAGAAAAUAUUUUUAAACUGAUAGAUGUGGAGUUAUGAAAAUUUAUGAUGAAAUAACUAUUGAUGUGAAUGGUGUAUGAAUAUGUGGAUGUUCAUAUUUGGUGGUUGUAUCUUGUUUUGUGUAUCUUGUACAUGUGUGACGCCGUGCAAAUACAGAAAAGAUUCUGUCUGUGUGAACAGUGG